RNAcentral lists this unclassified non-coding RNA (307 nucleotides) under plant metagenome. RNAcentral's name for it is "partial contains 5.8S ribosomal RNA, internal transcribed spacer 2, and large subunit ribosomal RNA". The stretch from base 1 to 105 matches the Rfam family "5.8S ribosomal RNA", at positions 50 to 154 of the family's 154-position model. The record is from RNAcentral.
GAAAUGCGAUAAGUAGUGUGAAUUGCAGAAUUCAGUGAAUCAUCGAAUCUUUGAACGCACAUUGCGCCCUUUGGUAUUCCAAAGGGCAUGCCUGUUCGAGCGUCAUUUGUACCUUCAAGCUUUGCUUGGUGUUGGGCGUCUUGUCUCUAGCUUUGCUGGAGACUCGCCUUAAAGUAAUUGGCAGCCGGCCUACUGGUUUCGGAGCGCAGCACAAGUCGCACUCUCUAUCAGCAAAGGUCUAGCAUCCAUUAAGCCUUUUUUCAACUUUUGACCUCGGAUCAGGUAGGGAUACCCGCUGAACUUAAGC